UAAAUUUUUUCAACGUAUAUGACCAACUUAACAUACAAAUAUGCCCUUAUACAUACACAAGUUACAGCAAUUUCUAUUGACACUAACAAUGUGUAUAAGAACUCAUAGGGGGUCAUCAUACACAGAAGGGGCUACAAUUUUGUCAAAUCCAUUGAUUAGUUGCAAUUGACAAGUUUGUAUAUUCCAACCAAAAUUGCAUCUUCUUAUCAUGUCCUUUUAGUUUCACAUCUCCAUGCAACAAGAAACCAACACAUUUGCAUUCCAUUUUUGCUGCUUUUUGCACCAAAAGGCCCACUAGCACAGGCCCCAACAUCCACUGCCCAUUCCCAACCAC
RNAcentral lists this long non-coding RNA (334 nucleotides) under Physcomitrium patens. RNAcentral describes it as "long non-coding RNA (PPAT_LNC005787)". Lineage: Eukaryota; Viridiplantae; Streptophyta; Bryopsida; Funariales; Funariaceae. The record is from RNAcentral.